GUGAACGCCCUCACGGGCUUAUACUAUUCCAAACCUCUGUGAACCGCGCCCUUCGGGGCUAUUUUACAAACAUGGUGUAAUGAACGUCAUAUAUCAUAACAAAACA
RNAcentral lists this unclassified non-coding RNA (106 nucleotides) under soil metagenome. Its description in RNAcentral is "partial internal transcribed spacer 1". The record is from RNAcentral.